RNAcentral lists this ribosomal RNA (111 nucleotides) under Olea europaea subsp. europaea. Its description in RNAcentral is "LSU_rRNA_bacteria". It matches the Rfam family "Eukaryotic large subunit ribosomal RNA", at positions 2441 to 2539 of the family's 3401-position model. Lineage: Eukaryota; Viridiplantae; Streptophyta; Magnoliopsida; Lamiales; Oleaceae. The record is from RNAcentral.
GUGAAAUGACUUGAUAGGUGUAGGAUAAGUGGGAGCCUAAGUGGGAGCCGAGAGGCGAAAGUGAAAUACCACUACUUUUAACGUUAUUUUACUUAUUUCGUGAAUCGGAGG